This 104-nucleotide ribosomal RNA is filed under the name Pteropus alecto (black flying fox). The record is from RNAcentral. Lineage: Eukaryota; Metazoa; Chordata; Mammalia; Chiroptera; Pteropodidae.
AUCUACAGCCAUGCCACUCAUGUCUAAUCUUGGAAGCUAAGCAGGGUCAGGCCUGGUUAGUACUUGGAUGGGAGACCACCUAGGAAGACCAGUUGCUGUAGGUG